CCUACGGUGGCUGCAGUGGGGAAUAUUGGACAAUGGGCGAGAGCCUGAUCCAGCCAUGCCGCGUGUGUGAAGAAGGCCUUCGGGUUGUAAAGCACUUUCAGUGGGGAAGAAAGCCUUGGGGCUAAUACCCUCGAGGAAGGACAUCACCCACAGAAGAAGCACCGGCUAACUCCGUGCCAGCAGCCGCGGUAAUACGGAGGGUGCGAGCGUUAAUCGGAAUUACUGGGCGUAAAGCGCGCGUAGGCGGUCUGAUAAGCCGGUUGUGAAAGCCCCGGGCUCAACCUGGGAACGGCAUCCGGAACUGUCAGGCUAGAGUGCAGGAGAGGAAGGUAGAAUUCCCGGUGUAGCGGUGAAAUGCGUAGAGAUCGGGAGGAAUACCAGUGGCGAAGGCGGCCUUCUGGACUGACACUGACGCUGAGGUGCGAAAGCGUGGGUAGCAAACAGGAUUAGAUACCCCAGUAGUC
Molecule: ribosomal RNA, 464 nt
Filed under: Vreelandella stevensii
Lineage: Bacteria; Pseudomonadati; Pseudomonadota; Gammaproteobacteria; Oceanospirillales; Halomonadaceae
Description: partial 16S ribosomal RNA
Rfam family: Bacterial small subunit ribosomal RNA
Source: RNAcentral